CCUACGGGUGGCUGUAGUCGAGAAUCAUUCACAAUGGGGGAAACCCUGAUGGUGCGACGCCGCGUGGGGGAAUGAAGGUCUUCGGAUUGUAAACCCCUGUCAUGUGGGAGCAAAUUAAAAAGAUAGUACCACAAGAGGAAGAGACGGCUAACUCUGUGCCAGCAACCGCGGUAAUACAGGGGUCUCAAGCGUGGUUCGGAAUCACUGGGGUUAAAGCGUGCGUAUGCUGUUUCGUAAGUCGUGUGUGAAAGGCGCGGGCCAAACCAGCGGACGGCACAUGAUACUGCGAGACUAGAGUAAGGGAGGGGGAAGCGGAAUGCGUGGUGUAGCAGUGAAAUGCGUAGAUAUCGAGAGGAACACUCGUGGCGAAGGCGGGUUCCUGGACAUUAACUGACGCUGAGGCACGAAGGCCAGGGGAGCGAAAGGGAUUAGAUACCCUAGUAGUC
This 446-nucleotide ribosomal RNA is filed under the name uncultured bacterium. RNAcentral describes it as "partial 16S ribosomal RNA". It matches the Rfam family "Bacterial small subunit ribosomal RNA", at positions 338 to 795 of the family's 1533-position model. The record is from RNAcentral.